GUCUACAGAUGUGCCACCUUGGACACACCUGGUCUCACCUGAUCUCGGAAGCUAAGCAGGAUUGGGCCUGGUUAGUACUUGGAUGGGAGAAUUGGAACACAGGGGUCUUUAGUGC
This 115-nucleotide ribosomal RNA is filed under the name Microcebus murinus (gray mouse lemur). Lineage: Eukaryota; Metazoa; Chordata; Mammalia; Primates; Cheirogaleidae. The record is from RNAcentral.